UACUCUGUAUUAGGCACUUAG
This 21-nucleotide microRNA is filed under the name Bos taurus (domestic cattle). RNAcentral describes it as "bta-miR-2319b". Lineage: Eukaryota; Metazoa; Chordata; Mammalia; Artiodactyla; Bovidae. The record is from miRBase by way of RNAcentral.